GCCUGGCUGGUUCAGUUGCUAGAGCACGUGACUCUUGAUCUCGGGGUUGUGAGUUAGAGCCCCAUGUUGGGUG
This 73-nucleotide transfer RNA is filed under the name Ailuropoda melanoleuca (giant panda). It matches the Rfam family "tRNA". Rfam says of the family: Transfer RNA (tRNA) molecules are approximately 80 nucleotides in length. Lineage: Eukaryota; Metazoa; Chordata; Mammalia; Carnivora; Ursidae. The record is from Rfam by way of RNAcentral.